GACGAACGCUGGCGGCGUGCUUAACACAUGCAAGUCGAACGGAAAGGCCCUGCUUUUGUGGGGUGCUCGAGUGGCGAACGGGUGAGUAACACGCGAGUAACCUGCCCUUGACUUUGGGAUAACUUCAGGAAACUGGGGCUAAUACCGGAUAGGAGCUCCUGCUGCAUGGUGGGGGUUGGAAAGUUUCGGCGGUUGGGGAUGGACUCGCGGCUUAUCAGCUUGUUGGUGGGGUAGUGGCUUACCAAGGCUUUGACGGGUAGCCGGCCUGAGAGGGUGACCGGGCACAUUGGGACUGAGAUACGGCCCAGACUGCUACGGGAGGCAGCAGUGGGGAAUCUUGCACAGUGGGCGGAAGCCUGAUGCAGAAACGCCACGUGCGGGAUGACGGCCUUCGAGUUGUAAACAGCUUUCGCCUGUGACGAAGCGUGAGUGACGGUAAUGGGUAAAGAAGCACCGGCUAACUACGUG
Molecule: ribosomal RNA, 468 nt
Filed under: uncultured bacterium
Lineage: Bacteria
Description: partial 16S ribosomal RNA
Rfam family: Bacterial small subunit ribosomal RNA
Source: RNAcentral